This 67-nucleotide transfer RNA is filed under the name Marmota marmota marmota (Alpine marmot). It matches the Rfam family "tRNA". Rfam says of the family: Transfer RNA (tRNA) molecules are approximately 80 nucleotides in length. Their secondary structure includes four short double-helical elements and three loops (D, anti-codon, and T loops). RNAcentral also lists the same sequence under 2 other names. Lineage: Eukaryota; Metazoa; Chordata; Mammalia; Rodentia; Sciuridae. The record is from Rfam by way of RNAcentral.
GGGGGUAUAACUCAGUGGUAGAGUUCUAGUUUACAUGAGGGCCUGGGUUCAAGCCCCAGCAUUGCCA